CACAAGCAGUGGAGUAUGUGGUUUAAUUCGACGCAACGCGAAGAACCUUACCAAGUCUUGACAUCCAGUGACGGACAUAGAAAUAGGUGUUUCCUUCGGGACACAGAGACAGGUGGUGCAUGGUUGUCGUCAGCUCGUGUCGUGAGAUGUUGGGUUAAGUCCCGCAACGAGCGCAACCCUUAUGGUCAGUACUACGCAAGAG
This 202-nucleotide ribosomal RNA is filed under the name uncultured bacterium. Its description in RNAcentral is "partial 16S ribosomal RNA". It matches the Rfam family "Bacterial small subunit ribosomal RNA", at positions 924 to 1131 of the family's 1533-position model. The record is from RNAcentral.